GAAAUGCGAUAAGUAAUGUGAAUUGCAGAAUUCAGUGAAUCAUCGAAUCUUUGAACGCACAUUGCGCCCGCCAGCAUUCUGGCGGGCAUGCCUGUUCGAGCGUCAUUUCAACCCUCGAGCCCCCCCGGGGGCCUCGGUGUUGGGGGACGGCACACCAGCCGCCCCCGAAAUGCAGUGGCGACCCCGCCGCAGCCUCCCCUGCGUAGUAGCACACACCUCGCACCGGACCGGCGCCUGCUUGACUUUUCUGAUUAUCCAGGUUGACCUCGGAUCAGGUAGGGAUACCCGCUGAACUUAAGC
Molecule: unclassified non-coding RNA, 300 nt
Filed under: plant metagenome
Description: partial contains 5.8S ribosomal RNA, internal transcribed spacer 2, and large subunit ribosomal RNA
Rfam family: 5.8S ribosomal RNA (bases 1-105)
Source: RNAcentral